CCCUUAGAUGUUCUGGGCCGCACGCGCGCUACACUGAUGCAUUCAACGAGUUUCUUCCUGGUCCGAGAGGAAUGGGUAACCUUUUGAAAUUGCAUCGUGAUAGGGAUAGACUAUUGCAAUUAUUGGUCUUCAACGAGGAAUUCCUAGUAGACGUAGUUCAUCAGACUGCAUCGAUUACGUCCCUGCCCUUUGUACACACCGCCCGUCGCUCCUACCGAUUGAAUGCUCAGGUGAGCCAUUCGGACUUUCAUCAUGCUGGUUUCCAGUUUUGAUGAAGGAAAGUCUUGCGAACCUUAUCAUUUAGAGGAAGGAGAAGUCGUAACA
RNAcentral lists this ribosomal RNA (324 nucleotides) under uncultured eukaryote. RNAcentral's name for it is "partial 18S ribosomal RNA". It matches the Rfam family "Eukaryotic small subunit ribosomal RNA", at positions 1470 to 1796 of the family's 1831-position model. The record is from RNAcentral.